GAUGAGUUCCAGCUUUGAUAGAAUGGGACCAGGUAUAGGAGCUAUACUGGAAAGGAGCAUCGAUAUGGAUCGAGGAUUUUUAUCGGGUCCAAUGGGAAGCGGCAUGAGAGAGAGAAUAGGCUCCAAAGGCAACCAGAUAUUUGUCAGAAAUGUAAGCAAAUAAAUAUUAAGGAUGAUUGAAAUUCUUUUUUUUCUUGUAUAUAUGUUACUAAUACCUCUUUUCAUUCUAGCUACCUUUUGACUUGACUUGGCAGAAACUAAAAGAGAAAUUCAGUCAGUGUGGUCAUGUAAUGUUUGCAGAAAUAAAAAUGGAGAAUGGAAAGUCAAAAGGCUGUGGAACAGUCAGAUUUGACUCCCCAGAAUCAGCUGAAAAAGCCUGCAGAAUAAUGAAUGGCAUAAAAAUCAGUGGCAGAGAAAUUGAUGUUCGCUUGGAUCGUAAUGCAUAAUUUCAAGCCAUGGUUGGAACAUUCCUACAUCUGUUUUGCUGAAUCUCCUAGUAAAAGUCAUUUUUUUAAAGUAAUAUUGUAUGCUUACAAAAGCUGUAAAAAUGAACUUUUAAAACUCCCACCAGCUUUUAACAGUAUAAUGUUAAAAAUAUACUGUAAUUUUUGUUAAUCUCAAGUUUGGGUUUUUAAAGACAGCAAGUCUGGUCAUUCAGUUUAAAUGAAUGGUUAUACUGUUUUUAAUG
This 688-nucleotide small RNA is filed under the name Pongo abelii (Sumatran orangutan). Its description in RNAcentral is "retained intron". The record is from RNAcentral. Lineage: Eukaryota; Metazoa; Chordata; Mammalia; Primates; Hominidae.